This is an RNA transcript of Bacillus rossius redtenbacheri, 4727 nucleotides long. It is a transcript of the gene named centromere protein I-like, with no coding region annotated. The transcript is spliced from 17 exons. The record is from RefSeq and is a predicted model, not a curated record. NCBI's taxonomy places the organism in Eukaryota, Metazoa, Arthropoda, Insecta, Phasmatodea, Bacillidae.
ACUUCGAGCGGGAAAACGAUGAAUUUGUAUUAACGUUGUAAAUAAAAAAAAAAUAAAAUUUUUUAUUUGUGUUUAGUAUUAUGCGUCAUGUACUAACCAGUAGAAUGAAAUUAACGCGUGUGUUGUGAAGUUUAACUUUAUAUAAAUGAUAUGUCGUAAUCCUUUCGAAAUUGUGCGGUUAUGAAGGAUAUUGUAGGAAACAAGGUAUCUGUGUGUUCACAAAUAGCGGAACUGUCAACAGGAAAGCAAUUUCAGAAGACUAUUUAAUAAAAAUUGGGGAAUGACCAAGAAAUGUCUGUUGUAGAAGACUUUUUGAAUGUUUUACAGGCAUGGACUGGAAAAAAAGUACCAAGGCACGUGUAUUUACAAAUAGACGAGGUAAAACAAAAGGCAUGUUCAGAUGGCUUGCUGGAAGAAGACAUUCAUAAACUGGUCAAGAACGUGGUUACACGGAAAUUACCAAACAAGGGAUACCUUGAAAUUUUGCACUGCCUUAUACCCAAGACAACAGUUUCUAAGGACUCAGUAAAAUUGUUGCUUGGGUGGGUCACGUCUAAUUUCAUCCAUAUCUCUGACAGUGUGAUCGUUGCUGCACUGCAGUGGACUUGCUGCUUACUGGAGUUUGAGUUGACAGACAAACAAGCAGUAAAUGAUUUCUAUGUGGUUUUCUUCUUCCUUUUGACUAGGAAAAAUUUGAUUCCUCUUGCGUGCAGGAUAAUAUAUUUCCUGACCAAGUCAGAUGACGUGACGAGGUGGUCGGUCACCCAUGUGCUUGCUACUGAAAAAAUUACCCAGGGGUUGAAAAAACCAGCAUUCGCUGUUUUGAACCUGUUCAAGUCCUUCAGGCCGGAAUGUGUCCCAGAAGACGUGCCGCCUGUCAGCACGAGCGUGGUGUUCCGGCAGCUUCCUGACGUCCUGCAGCUGUACUUCGGCCGUGCCCAGCAGCGCAACGAGGCUCGCCAGGCUCCCAAGGGGGAAGAGCUCCACUGGAGAACACUUGCUUCCGCUAACAGAAAGAAAAGAAAAUUUUGCAGAGAGUUGAUCCCCCCUGUUGACUAUGUCAACAUUGGACCCAGCAUGUAUCAGGAUAAAACAACUCAUUACGUGCUGAAAUAUUCUAGUUUUGAAGAGUUGUGCAGCUAUCAACUGAGCCUAGCAAUGCCUAGCAACAUAAUGUCCCUCUUGGCCAAUCACGCUGGUCGCCACAUUAUUGCCUUUGGGAAUUUACAGCUUCAGAGCAGGUUCUCUUACUUGCUGUUCAACAAACUUUAUGAUGUACUCAUCUUAAAAGCACAAUAUUCCACGGAAGAAAUUGAAGAAUGCCUGAGUUAUUUGGUCAAUCUGCAGGAGUACAUGCAGCAAGGCGUCCCAAUUGUGUCCAAGGUGCUAUCAGAGUACAUCAUCUUGUGGGAUGGGGCAGAGUUCCAGGAUCUCAUCUUCUGUCUCCUGGAAUGGGUCGCCAUAAAGUCGUAUGAAGAUCUUUAUGACUGUGUUCUUCAUCAUUUACGAAACUCAUUCCUUUUGAUGGAUGGUGAUCAAAGAUGUGCUAUGAUCAGAAUGUUUCGCCGACUUGUGACUAACAUGUAUAUGAGCAUUCUGUACAGAAAUCGUCAGUCAUUUGAGAAACCUUUCUUGACGUGUCAUGAAGAGUGGAAUGCGGCGUCAAUUCUCGAGAAAGUGGUCUCAUUUGUGCACGAAGAGCUCAUAGUGUUGGGAUUUUCUCAAUUUUUUGAUGACUACCUAUUUGUAGAAGAAGUUCUUACCUUCUGUGAAACCGUUCUGUAUGUUCAAGAAGAUAGCAGUGUACUUCUGAAUAUUGUGAUUCCAACAGCAGUAGUUGCACACUGUAUAUUUGGACAUCACUACUUUUUGAUAUCCCGUGUUCACAUGAUAUUGGAAAGGUACAGGAUUCUGUUAAAAAUGCAUAAAAGUGACAUUGUCAGUAAAAAGUGGGAGAAAGAACAACAAAUUCUACAGAGAACCUGUAGGGAAUUCAAUGCUGCAUUGUUUGGCAAAGUAGAAUUUUCUGAUGAUGUAGUUGAUGCUGUGGCCAAUUACAAGCUGUACAGAAAUCUACAGCAAAUGUUUCAUCUGAAUCAGCACAUGGCAUUUUCCUCGCACAUCAGUUUGAUGAAUACAGCGAAGGCGUUAGUGCUGGAAAAUGGAGCCAAGCGGUUUGCCUUGGAUGAUGUGAGAAAUAUUUUUGAAGAUAUUAAAGAGAUAGAAGAAGAAGAAGAUGAUUGAAGAUUUUUCUGGUCAGCGGUAAAGUCAGGAGCAGCAAAAAUAGACUUUUUUCACAUUCUUGCUGCCGAUGGUGUUUUUUUUACGUUGAGAUGUAGGAUAAUACAGAAUGUCGGAUAAGAAAAGGUAGCAUUAUCUAUGCGGAAAAGGCAGGGACUGUCUCAACAGCGCUCUCUACACUGCUGGUUAAACAAGGAGGAAUGUGAGCACCCUGGUAGCAAAUACAAAAUCCAAGGAAUUCACAGCUGACUGUAUAAGUUUUUCAAACAAAGCACAGAUUGGCAACAAAUCUGGAUGGCAUCCAUCUCGCAACUGGCCUGUAUGCAGUAUUUUGUCUGUCCGUGCAUUCUGACGUCUCAACUGGUUGCCCUCUGCAUGUUGCCAAUCAUGUAAGCUCAUAUAUUACAGAUUUAGGCUAUAUUUACAAUUAAAAUUAACAAAUUAACAGUUAUAAAUAUGAAUUUUCCAGCAAGAAAGUAAAACUAAAUUUUGUACACAAUUUGUGAUUUUGUGUGUGUAUAUUGAUGUCAACCGGGCCUGCGCCCCAGAAGCCUGGUCAGCCUCUGCCACCUUUCCCCUCGCCCCCCGUCCCACUUCCUGUACUGACAGUCUCUCCGUCACGAGUACGUAAUCGUGUGUGUGUUUGAAUAGCGCGUCACCAACUACCUCAAGAGGGCUCUGUAGCGGCAGUGCGACGUCCCCCUAAAUUUGUAAUAAUUAUAUUUUAUAGCUUUUCAUUUUGUCCCCAUUUAUUUGUGUCGCCACUGAGGGGCGGGAGGGCUUUUGUUUUGUUUAGCAUGUAAGUUUUAGUGUGUAAGUUAAAGACGUUGCCGGGCGGACCCGAGUGGACCUGAACAUGAAUGAAGUAACAUGUAUUUGAAUUUAAGUAAUUAAUAAACCUAUGUUAAAUAGUAAUAGAGCCAUACGAGAGUGUGUCUUAAUUUAGGAGUGUUCUUGUAUUUCUUUAUGUAAGAUUGCAAGGCAUUUAAUUGAAAAGGCGGGAAGGCGCCAUGUUGUUCCGAGGGAGCCCUUCGCUCGGCCAGUUCUCCACCGCCAACGACUGUGGUAAGACGCUGCCUUCCGCACCCGGGGACUUCACUCUUUGUUCGCUGACCAUUAAUUCCAUUUUUGCUUAAUUACUUCAAAUUUCUUUUCAUGUUAUCCCCGGGGCUUGCCUCGGUCGGGGGACUGUUUAACUCUUAAUGAGACUUUUAAUGUUCUUAAGUAAUCGCUUGUGCAGGCCACGUGCGUGGGCCUUAUUCCUGUGUUCCAAUUCUUGGAAACGCACCCUCGUGAGGCCAUGGAUGGGAGUACGCGCACGUAUUAAACAUCUUAAUUAUAAUUGUCUUGUAUUUUUUUGCAGCGACCACGUGGCGACCUAUACCUCGUGAGCAGGCGUGUGGGACGCCUGGAGAGCCCACUAUUACUUGGUACAACAUAAGUGUGCCCGACAUUGAGAGCGGACCAGGUCUGAGCGUACUACGGGAGUUAACCGAGGGUCCAGUCUUGCCUCACAGGGGUGACGUCACGCCCUGAGACGGAUCUUAGCCAGGUUCACGUGGUGGCGCCCAUUGUCAAUCAACACUGUAGCGACCCUCACGAAACCCGAACCACAACAAUAUAUAUAGAUACACAGACCCAUAAUUAAUAGAAAAUGUACCAAUUACGUUGCAUUUCCACACAAUUUUGAGAAUUUUUUGUUAUUAGAUUAAUUUUUCUGAAAGAAAUUCAAACUAAUUAAUGAUUGCCUUAAAACCUGAAAUUUUUCAGUUCUGUAAACCAUUUAAUUCUCUAUUGGUACUUGAUAAAAAUGUUAAAAAUGUAAAUUUGGCAGCUAAUAAAAAAAAUGCAAUUUUUUCUUCAAGUUCAGCAUUCAAUGUAAAUGUAAAAAAAAAUGACAUGAAACUGAAUGCACUCCCUUAAACACAUGGUUACACAGUUCUACUGCAUUACAAUUUUACUUCUUAUUAGCAAAACAAAACAAGGCUCCUUUUCUAAUAGCACAAAGAAUAUUAUGCAUUCAGUAAUAAUAUGGUAACAUUUUAACAUUUAGGUUUGUUAUGUUAAGAUCAAAUUAUAUCCCUGCAGUGCAAAUACAAAUACUCAUUAAAAAAGGGCAAACAUAACUAUGCAGUAUACAGGAGAAUGGCCACAUACAAGGGUAAGGAUCCAGUAUGUAUAUUCCAAAAAAAAUGUUUCCAGAAUUUUUUCAUUUGCUUUGUUUUUAGUUUACUAGAACUCUGCUGCAUUUUAUCAUUUUUGUAGUUGAACGAUCUGGUGAAAUAUAUGGUGAUAUUAAGUACUUAUCUAACAAAGGACAAUUUAACCUUGCACAAUGUAAAUUACCUAUUUUCUGAUGAAAGCAAAAAGUCUUGUGCUCGAGUUUCCUGACUUACAUGGUAUUUUCGCAGGCAUCUCUGGUAAAGGCCCUCCGAUUGGUAUCUGCAGAGGAGUGAUGUCGAAGGCCGUCAUAUCAUCCUCGCCAC